GGCCUCAAAAUAGUCAGCUUGCGACAGCAGUGUUUGUGAAGGCGGAGGCGCACAUGAGGGUGAUUCAGGGACUGCUUGAGGCUGGGCAAACGGAGAAAGUCCCACUG
RNAcentral lists this non-coding RNA (107 nucleotides) under Rhodosorus marinus. Lineage: Eukaryota; Rhodophyta; Stylonematophyceae; Stylonematales; Stylonemataceae. The record is from RNAcentral.